CUGCCAUUAUAAGAGAAGGAUUAUCCUUUAAUUUCAGUUCUAUAUAUCUCACAUUGACCGUCAUUUUCGAUCAAAAGUCAACUAUAGGUACCGAGGCCUAAAUAUUCGGUACAUGGGGGCUUGAACAGUUUUUAUUGGAUUUAAACAAUAUUUUUGGUCAUAAGAUGGUACACACUAAAGACAUCAUUCGACUGGUGCGUUAGAAUCUGCUAUCUUUAUCGAUUUUCCAGUGAGUAUUUCAUGACAUUUCAUAUAUUGGUAGUGAAGGUAUUGCGUUUUAAGUGUCGGUAUGUUUGUGUUAUCGGUGCGAAAAUGAGCUUCGAACAAAGAGCCAACAUUAAAUUUUGUUUUAAAAUUGGUAAAACUUUUACCGAAACGUUUCAAUUGAUAAAACAAGUUUAUGGCGAUGAUUGCCUAUCCCGUAGCAAAGUACACCAGUGGUUUCAACGUUUUCAAAGUGGUCGUGAGGACAUAAAUAACGAUCAACAUGUGGGCCAAUCAAAAUCUGUGAUCACCGCAAAUUCCAUCGAAUCUAUGCAUGAAUUCAUCAAAAAUCAACCGAAAUCAUCAUUGAAUUUCAUGGAAAUAGAAUCGAACAUCUCCAAAACAUCGAUUUAUCGCAUUUUGACCGAAUCUUUGGGCUUACGAAGAGUGUGUUCACGGUUUGUCCGCACAAAUUGACUGACGAUCACAAAUUACUCAGAAUCCAACAUUCGAAGGACAUCAUUAUGACCGAUUAUUUUACCAAAAAUCACGUUUAACCAUUAACCACUCCCCGUAUUCACCUGAUAUGGCAUCGUGCGACUUCUUCCUUUUUGGAAAAAUGUAUUUGCCCGUGAAAGAAAAGUGUUAUGCAGACUUCGAAGAAAAUUAUGCUAAUUGUGUAAAACGAUGAUUUCAAAAGACACACUUUCUUUGCUAUCAUGGAUUUAAUUCUUGCGGACAUCACGAUAAGGUUAUUGUAUCAUUUUUUUGGCUCUAUCCAAAAAUAUAACUAAAAGACGUUUAGGUUGCUGCGUUCACGUUCGCUGAAAAAUAUCCUGCUGAUAUUUUUAAAGAAAUAUCGACUUGGAUAAUCCACUUAAAAAACUUGUAUUAGGGUAAUUUUGCCGACAGUUCUACUUAUGUAUAUCUAAUCUGUCCCCAUUUGACUUAUUGAGAAUAAGUGCAUUUCUUUGAGUACCGAGUCAUCAUUCAUUCGUUUUGUCAAGAAUAAUCGUUCAACCUAAAAUCGGGUGUUAGGACUAACUUAUGUUUGAAAUCUGAACAGCUAAAGCAAGGAAUACAAACUUUUAAACACCUUCUGUGAUUGAAUAAAAAAAAUUUAUGUAAAUUUAAUAUUUGAUAAGAAUCUCUUAUUUUUCAAAUAUGCUUCAAUGUUUCUUCUGAAAUUCGUGAUUUGUGUAUGGGACAAUGAUAGAAACAUAUUGAAUUUAAAAUUUUUUUACAUAGGAAGCAGGAGUGGUUUUCGUCAAAUUUCGCCCAUUUUUCCACAGUGAUGUAGGAAUGUCAGUCCGCCAUUAUCUUGUUGCAGCUAAAAUUCGCACCCGCCUCUGUGCAAAUUAAAACACACGUCAAGAAACACAAGAAAAGUCCGACGUCGAGAAGCUACAAUCACAACAGACAGCCGAGCGAUUUUCUACUCGACUUGCAUUCCUGCCCUCUGAGAACACUCAUCAACACCUCGGUAGAAGGGAACUGUAGAACGGCAUUUUAAGCUUCUUACGUACAGCUGCAACCGAAAUCAAUGGUAAAAUUAUGGAGAGAAGACUUCUCGAGCCUGCUGAAAGGCAGUGAAAGUAUAACGCCAGGAGAAGGCCAACCCGAUUUCCCAAUCGAUGACGAUGGAGCAGACAUUCCAUUACCAGACCAUGAAGAACUUCGAAUAGCAAUUACUCGUCUGAAGAACAAUGAGGCGGCGGGGGCCGAUGGAUUGUCGGCCGAGCUAUUAAAACACGGCGCCUGUGUUCUGCCUUAGGCUACGUUUAUGACCGAGCGGACUCGCGUCGCGCGAUGCGAUGAAAAUCGCUUCUAGCGAUCAAAUACAUACAUAAAUCCAUUCGGAGGUGCUUAUCGUGCAGCGAUUUAGCGAAAAGCGGUUUCAGCGAAAAUGGAGCGACUGCUAGCAACGAAAAUCAGCGAUCAAAAUUUUUGAUUCAGUUGAGCGAAUCGCGUUAAACACAAUGGACAAAUUUAUUGAAAAGGUGCGAAAUAAAGAAUGUUUGUGGAAUCUGCGUCAUCCAGAUUAUCAUAAUAGAAACAAAAUCAGAAAAGCUUGGGAAGAAGUAGAAAAAGAAUGCAGUUUGGAAGCUGGCUCUGGUGCAAAAAAAUGGAAAAACUUGAAAGACACCUAUUGGAGAGAACUUCGUAAGGAAACUGUGGUGGCUUCAGGCAGCGCUGCAAUGCCGCAUUCAAAACGGACACAUUUUAAGGAUAAGUGUUUUUAACAAGAUAUUAUGGAAUCGCGCUCCAUGUCAGGUAACUUGAUCAAUGAAACAAGUUGUGAUGAAUUGGUGGAACUUGAUGAUGAAGAUAAAUCGGAAACUCCUGAAUCCAUAAAAUUGAUGCAGCCUACACCUAAAAAAUCAAAGAAAAAACUUACAGAAAGCUCAGCGUUUUUGGAGUAGGAGGAAAAGAAUCUUAAGCUUCUAGAAAAAAGCAACGAUGAAGAGGAUGAUGAUUACCAUUUUCUUAUGAGUUUCAAAAAGUACAUGAAAAAUAUGGGUGAAGAAACAAAAAAUAAAAUUUCGCAUAAAAAUGCAGGAGGUUCUGUACGACAUUAUGUACGGCAGAGAUAAUCAGGAAUCGGCUACGCCAGUUUCUUUUAUUAGUUAUGUGAGUAGCAGCCCAAAUAUUGAAACGCAGGAUUCAAACAGCUUCAUUUUUCCAAAUGCGCAAAAUUUUAAUUAAGCUACUUAAUAUUAAUGUGUGUAAUAUUAUAUUAAAUACAUACUUACAUAUGUAAGUGAACAAGUAUAAAUAUUGAAAUUGAAUAAAAAUUUAUGGAAUGGA
Molecule: long non-coding RNA, 3012 nt
Organism: Bactrocera neohumeralis
Lineage: Eukaryota; Metazoa; Arthropoda; Insecta; Diptera; Tephritidae
Exons: 2
Source: RefSeq, a predicted model, not a curated record